AUGAAGAUGGUGAACUGUGGGAGUACUUCCCUUGCUCUUUCUUCUACAUCAAGGUCAAAAAAGCCCUUCAUCUGCAUCCAUCUGCGGCAGGAACACUGCUUUGACAUCAGGAACUCUCACGAGGGAGAUUGGACUAACUGCAAGAAAAAAAGCUCAGUUCUACAGACAGCCCCCACCGCCCACAUGGAUUACUUCCUCCGGUCCUCAUCCAGCGGCCAAAUCCCGACACACCUGAUAGUUGAAACUUACACAUGGCCUGCGACCAACUGCGCCGCCUCUAGAAGCUCCUUGGGAAUGACUUGGUAG
RNAcentral lists this ribosomal RNA (306 nucleotides) under Triticum aestivum (bread wheat). RNAcentral describes it as "partial small subunit ribosomal RNA". The record is from RNAcentral. Lineage: Eukaryota; Viridiplantae; Streptophyta; Magnoliopsida; Poales; Poaceae.